Long non-coding RNA from Tupaia belangeri chinensis (Chinese tree shrew), 219 nucleotides. RefSeq lists it as uncharacterized. The record is from RefSeq and is a predicted model, not a curated record. Lineage: Eukaryota; Metazoa; Chordata; Mammalia; Scandentia; Tupaiidae. The transcript is spliced from 3 exons.
GCAAACCAACCAACGUGGGCGAGGAGAAGGCCAGGGAGGUGGCCCAGCAGACUGAGGACCCAGCUCUCCUCUCCUCACAAAGGCACCCUUGCUCCCUAAUGACAGUAAUUCUUGUGGUUGCUGGAGACCAGGAAGAGCAGGCCUAGGAAGACAGGGUCUCCAGGAUUUUAGAGACCUUUGAUCGGCUGGUCCCAGUCUUCUGCAGGUCUGGGAGGGGAG